This 785-nucleotide ribosomal RNA is filed under the name Scoliciosporum chlorococcum. RNAcentral describes it as "SSU rRNA". It matches the Rfam family "Bacterial small subunit ribosomal RNA", at positions 371 to 1189 of the family's 1533-position model. The record is from RNAcentral. Lineage: Eukaryota; Fungi; Ascomycota; Lecanoromycetes; Lecanorales; Lecanoraceae.
UAUAGCGAAAGCUGUUUGCAUCGGCUGAUGCAGAAUCGACUACGUUGAAUAAAAUUCCAGGCAAAAUUAUGAUAAUGACAUUGUUUGCCUGAAUGUCUUGACCAAAUUACGUGCCAGCAGUCGCGGUAAUACGUAGAAGACUAGUGUUAUUCAUCUUUAAUAGGUUUAAAGGGUACCUAGACGGCAAAUCAAGCCUAAAUUGGGACUAGUUUGCUAGAGUUACUUGUGAGGGGGCAUUAAAGUACUAAUGGUGUAGAGAUGAAAUUUUGUGAUACCUAUUCUUGGAAAAGAAAUGAUGGCACUGGUAUAGGCGAAAGCAUCCCCUUAUGUGAUAACUGACGUUGAAGGACGAAGGCUUUGUGUAGCGAACAGGAUUAGAUACCCUAGUAGUCAAAGCAGAAAAUGAUGAAUGUCAUAGAUUAGAUAUCUGAUAAAAUAAAUUUAUCCUAGAUAUAUAUUUAUUCUAUAAAUGAAAGUGUAAGCAUUCCACCUCAAGAGUAAUUUGGCAACAUUGGAACUGAAAUCAUUAGACCGUUUCUGAAACCAGUAGUGAAGUAUGUUGUUUAAUUUGAUGAUCCGCAAAAAACCUUACCACAGUUUGAAUAUUUAUAUUUAUUUUGUUAUCUUAAAUCUCAAAAUGGUAUAUUUACAAGCGUUGCACGGUUGUCUUCAGUUAAUGUCGCGAGACUUUGGUUAGUUCCAUUAAAUUAACGUAAGCCCUUACUUUAUUUUCAUAUAAAGUUGUUCCCCACUAUAUUGGAUAUGAUAACAGGGACUAAGACAAA